This 507-nucleotide ribosomal RNA is filed under the name uncultured bacterium. RNAcentral's name for it is "partial 16S ribosomal RNA". It matches the Rfam family "Bacterial small subunit ribosomal RNA", at positions 28 to 507 of the family's 1533-position model. The record is from RNAcentral.
GACGAACGCUGGCGGCGUGCCUAAUACAUGCAAGUCGAACGCAUUUUCUUUCACCGUAGCUUGCUACACCGAAAGAAAAUGAGUGGCGAACGGGUGAGUAACACGUGGGUAACCUGCCCAUCAGCGGGGGAUAACACUUGGAAACAGGUGCUAAUACCGCAUAAUUCCAUUUACCGCAUGGUAGAUGGAUGAAAGGCGCUUUUGCGUCACUGAUGGAUGGACCCGCGGUGCAUUAGCUAGUUGGUGGGGUAACGGCCUACCAAGGCUGCGAUGCAUAGCCGACCUGAGAGGGUGAUCGGCCACACUGGGACUGAGACACGGCCCAGACUCCUACGGGAGGCAGCAGUAGGGAAUCUUCGGCAAUGGACACAAGUCUGACCGAGCAACGCCGCGUGAGUGAAGAAGGUUUUCGGAUCGUAAAACUCUGUUGUUAGAGAAGAACAAGGAUGAGAGUGGAAAGUUCAUCCCUUGACGGUAUCUAACAAGAAAGCCACGGCUAACUACGUG